UACGGAGGGGACUAGCGUUGUUCGGAAUUACUGGGCGUAAAGCGCACGUAGGCGGAUUUGUAAGUCAGGGGUGAAAUCCCGGGGCUCAACCUCGGAACUGCCUUUGAUACUGCAAAUCUCGAGUCCGGAAGAGGUGAGUGGAAUUCCUAGUGUAGAGGUGAAAUUCGUAGAUAUUAGGAAGAACACCAGUGGCGAAGGCGGCUCACUGGUCCGGUACUGACGCUGAGGCACGAAAGCGUGGGGAGCAAACAGG
This 253-nucleotide ribosomal RNA is filed under the name uncultured bacterium. RNAcentral's name for it is "partial 16S ribosomal RNA". It matches the Rfam family "Bacterial small subunit ribosomal RNA", at positions 524 to 776 of the family's 1533-position model. The record is from RNAcentral.